Molecule: ribosomal RNA, 1084 nt
Filed under: Clostridioides difficile
Lineage: Bacteria; Bacillati; Bacillota; Clostridia; Peptostreptococcales; Peptostreptococcaceae
Description: partial 23S ribosomal RNA
Rfam family: Bacterial large subunit ribosomal RNA
Source: RNAcentral
GGAUGUGAUGGGGAGCGAAAUUUAGUAGCGAAGUAGCUGAUUUCACACUGUCAAGAAAAGUCUCUAUCGAGGUUAAAGGUACCCGUACCGCAAACCGACACAGGUGGGUGAGGAGAGUAUCCUAAGGCCAGCGAGAGAACUGUUGUUAAGGAACUCGGCAAAAUGACCCCGUAACUUAGGGAUAAGGGGUGCCACCAUCAGGUGGCCGCAGAGAAUAGGCCCAAGCGACUGUUUACCAAAAACAUAGGUUUCUGCUAAGUCGCAAGACGAUGUAUAGGAGCUGACGCCUGCCCGGUGCUGGAAGGUUAAGGGGAUCUGUUAGAGCAAUCGAAGCAGUGAACUUAAGCCCCAGUAAACGGCGGCCGUAACUAUAACGGUCCUAAGGUAGCGAAAUUCCUUGUCGGGUAAGUUCCGACCCGCACGAAAGGCGUAACGAUUUGGGCACUGUCUCAACAACAGACUCGGUGAAAUUGUAAUUCCGGUGAAGAUGCCGGAUACCUGCGACAGGACGGAAAGACCCCAUGGAGCUUUACUGUAGCUUGACAUUGGGUCUUGGUACUACAUGUACAGGAUAGGUGGGAGGCUUUGAAACCAGGACGCCAGUUUUGGCGGAGCCAUCCUUGGGAUACCACCCUUGUAGUACUGGGACUCUAACCAUAGGCCAUGAAUCUGGUCUUGGGACACUGUCAGGUGGGCAGUUUGACUGGGGCGGUCGCCUCCCAAAAGGUAACGGAGGCGCUCAAAGGUUCUCUCAGUACGGUCGGAAAUCGUACGUAGAGUGUAAAGGCAAAAGAGAGCUUGAUUGCAAGACAUACAGGUCGAGCAAGGAUGAAAAUCGGACUUAGUGAUCCGGUGGUUCUGCGUGGAAGGGCCAUCGCUCAACGGAUAAAAGCUACCCUGGGGAUAACAGGCUUAUCUCCCCCAAGAGUCCACAUCGACGGGGAGGUUUGGCACCUCGAUGUCGGCUCAUCACAUCCUGGGGCUGUAGUAGGUCCCAAGGGUUGGGCUGUUCGCCCAUUAAAGUGGUACGCGAGCUGGGUUCAGAACGUCGUGAGACAGUUCGGUCCCUAUCCGUCGCAGGCGU